This 429-nucleotide ribosomal RNA is filed under the name Chloroflexota bacterium. Its description in RNAcentral is "Chloroflexi bacterium partial 16S ribosomal RNA". It matches the Rfam family "Bacterial small subunit ribosomal RNA", at positions 355 to 776 of the family's 1533-position model. The record is from RNAcentral. Lineage: Bacteria; Bacillati; Chloroflexota.
UGGGGAAUAUUGCACAAUGGGCGCAAGCCUGAUGCAGCCAUGCCGCGUGUAUGAAGAAGGCCUUCGGGUUGUAAAGUACUUUCAGCGGGGAGGAAGGGAGUAAAGUUAAUACCUUUGCUCAUUGACGUUACCCGCAGAAGAAGCACCGGCUAACGCCGUGCCAGCAGCCGCGGUAAUACGGAGGGUGCAAGCGUUAAUCGGAAUUACUGGGCGUAAAGCGCACGCAGGCGGUUUGUUAAAUCAGAUGUGAAAUCCCCGGGCUCAACCUGGGAACUGCAUCUGAUACUGGCAAGCUUGAGUCUCGUAGAGGGGGGUAGAAUUCCAGGUGUAGCGGUGAAAUGCGUAGAGAUCUGGAGGAAUACCGGUGGCGAAGGCGGCCCCCUGGACGAAGACUGACGCUCAGGUGCGAAAGCGUGGGGAGCAAACAGG